This 395-nucleotide non-coding RNA is filed under the name Pongo abelii (Sumatran orangutan). Lineage: Eukaryota; Metazoa; Chordata; Mammalia; Primates; Hominidae. The record is from RNAcentral.
GGGACAGAGUCUCGCUCUGUCUCCCAGAGUGGAGUGGAGUGGCGCUAUCUCUGCUCCCUGCAACCUCUGCCUCCCGGGUUCAAGCAAUUCUCCUGCCUCAGCCUUCUGAGUAACUGGGAUUACAGGCGUGCACCACCGCACCCGGCUAAGUUUUGUAUUUUUAGUAGAGAUGGGGUUUCGCCAUGUUGGUCAGGCUGGUCUCAAACUCCUGACCCCAUGAUCUGCUCGCCUCGGCCUCCCAAAGUGCUGGGAUUACAGGCAUGAGCCACCGCACCCGGCAAUGCCGGUUAAUUUUUAUAUAUUUUUUUUUGUAGAGAUAGGGUUUCACCAUGUUACCCAGGCUGGUCUCAAACUCCUGAGCUCAAAGCGAUCCUCCCACCUUGGUUUCCCAAAGU